AUUGAACGCUGGCGGCAGGCCUAACACAUGCAAGUCGAGCGCGCGGCGGGCGGGGGAGGAAUGUAUGGGGGCAGCCCGAUAGAGGGGGAUAACUACUGGAAACGGUAGCUAAUACAGCGCACUAUCGGAUAACCCAUAUGGGAGUAGCUAGAAGGGGGGGUAAUGGCUCACCUAGGCGACGCUCCCUAGCUGGUCUGAGAGGAUGAUCAGCCACACUGGGACUGAGACACGGCCCAGACUCCUACGGAGGCAGCAGUGGGGAAUAUUGCACAAUGGGCGCAAGCCUGAUGCAGCCAUGCCGCGUGUAUGAAGAAGGCCCUAGGGUUGUAAAGUACUUUCAGUCGGGAGGCGUUACCGACAGAAGAAGCACCGGCUAACUCCGUGCCAGCAGCCGCGGUAAUAC
RNAcentral lists this ribosomal RNA (403 nucleotides) under uncultured bacterium. Its description in RNAcentral is "partial 16S ribosomal RNA". It matches the Rfam family "Bacterial small subunit ribosomal RNA", at positions 29 to 526 of the family's 1533-position model. The record is from RNAcentral.